AUGGAUCCAAAUUCAACAUAUUUGCUGAAAAUCAAAUUGCUUGGCAACAAAAAAACUAGGAAGGAUAUCAAAUGCUUUUGUUAUGAUAAGGUUAUUGAUUCCGACAUAACAAAUUAUAAUGACUUGGUUGAAUCAAUCGUAGAGCAGUACUCGCCUCGUUAUUUGGAAGUUGCACAUGUUCAGUACUAUGAUCCUUUUCUUAAAAUCUACCCCAUCCGAGUUGUGCACUUGUUUGUUGCAUAUUGUGAUCCAUCUGAACCAUAUGAGCCUAUCACGGAGUGGCAUAGUGAUGCGCAUAUCCAACCUAGCAACACAGAAUAAGACGAUGAUGAUUAUCUUCGCAACCCAAUACCUGCGAAUGAACAUGUUGGUGUUGAUGAGGAAAAUAUUUAUUUAGAUGAUGAUGAUUAUCUUCGCAACCCAAUACAUGUACCUCUUAUCAUGGUUCCCUGUUCCGAUAAAGAAAGGGACGAAGACUAUGUUCCUGGUCAUGAGAGCGAGGAUGAGAGCGAGGAUGAGGGCGAUGAGGAAGUAGAGGAAGAUGAGGAAGUGCACGAGGCAGAGCAUACACCACAUUUAGAAUAUGAUAAAUUAGAUCAUCUAAUGAUCGAAGGAGGAAAAUAUUCCAAUAUGAUAGAGUUUAAGUUGGCGCUUUCUCAACAUGCAAUCAAACAUGAAUUUGAGUUUAACACCGAGAAGAGUGCACCACAUAGGUUCAGCGCUUAUUGUUCAAGAAGGAAUGAAGGUAAGUGUCCAUGGAGGAUAUAUGCUUCUACAAUGGAAGAUAAGUGUCCACGGAGGGUAAGCUGCUAG
RNAcentral lists this ribosomal RNA (813 nucleotides) under Triticum aestivum (bread wheat). RNAcentral's name for it is "partial small subunit ribosomal RNA". The record is from RNAcentral. Lineage: Eukaryota; Viridiplantae; Streptophyta; Magnoliopsida; Poales; Poaceae.